CGGCGUGCCUAACACAUGCAAGUCAACUUGACGGAAGGAGCAAUCUGACCGUAGAGUGGCGCAAGGGUGCGUAACGCGUAAGUAACUUGCCCCAAGGUAAGGAAUAACGUCGAGAAAUCGGCGCUAAUACCUCAUAAUGCAGCGGAUCCGCACGGAUAUGUUGUUAAGGUUUACCGCCUUGGGAUAGGCUUGCGUCUGAUUAGCUAGUUGGUGUGGUAACGGCACACCAAGGCUACGAUCAGUAACUGGGUCUGAGAGGAUGAUCAGUCACACUGGAACUGAGACACGGUCCAGACUCCUACGGGAGGCAGCAGUGAGGAAUAUUGGGCAAUGCUCGAAAGAGUGACCCAGCAACGCCGCGUGGAGGAUGAAGGUGUUCUAUAUCGUAAACUCCUGUGAGAGCAGACGAAAGACAGAUUAUUAAUCUGGAUGACUGUAUGCUCAGAGGAAGCCCCGGCUAACUACGUG
Molecule: ribosomal RNA, 468 nt
Filed under: uncultured bacterium
Lineage: Bacteria
Description: bacterial SSU rRNA
Rfam family: Bacterial small subunit ribosomal RNA
Source: RNAcentral